This 115-nucleotide ribosomal RNA is filed under the name Oreochromis niloticus (Nile tilapia). The record is from RNAcentral. Lineage: Eukaryota; Metazoa; Chordata; Actinopteri; Cichliformes; Cichlidae.
GCUUACGGCCAUACCACCUGAACACGCCCGAUCUCGUCUGAUCUCGGAAGCUAAGCAGGGUCGGGCCUGGCAGUACUUGGAUGGAGACCGCCUGGGAUACCAGGUGCUGUAAGCU